CCCUUAGAUGUUCUGGGCUGCACGCGCGCUACACUGGUGCACUCAACAAGUUUACAACCUUGAUCGAUAGGUCUGGGUAAUCUUUUGAAUAUGCACCGUGCUAGGGAUAGAUUAUUGCAAUUAUUAAUCUUGAACGAGGAAUUCCUAGUAAACGCAAGUCAUCAACUUGCAUUGAUUACGUCCCUGCCCUUUGUACACACCGCCCGUCGCACCUACCGAUUGAAUGGUCCGGUGAAGCCUCCGGAUUGGCGCGCACCUCGGUGCCGCCGAGAAGUUGGCUAAACCUUACCAUUUAGAGGAAGGUGAAGUCGUAACA
This 316-nucleotide ribosomal RNA is filed under the name uncultured eukaryote. Its description in RNAcentral is "partial 18S ribosomal RNA". It matches the Rfam family "Eukaryotic small subunit ribosomal RNA", at positions 1470 to 1796 of the family's 1831-position model. The record is from RNAcentral.